RNAcentral lists this non-coding RNA (28 nucleotides) under Rattus norvegicus (Norway rat). Lineage: Eukaryota; Metazoa; Chordata; Mammalia; Rodentia; Muridae. The record is from RNAcentral.
GACAUGACAGGACCACUACAGUCAUGAA